This 254-nucleotide ribosomal RNA is filed under the name uncultured bacterium. RNAcentral describes it as "partial 16S ribosomal RNA". It matches the Rfam family "Bacterial small subunit ribosomal RNA", at positions 524 to 776 of the family's 1533-position model. The record is from RNAcentral.
UACGUAGGGUGCGAGCGUUGUCCGGAAUUACUGGGCGUAAAGCGUGCGUAGGUGGUUUGUUAAGUCUGUUGUGAAAGCCCCCGGGCUCAACCUGGGAAUGGCAAUGGAUACUGGCAAGCUAGAGUGCGGUAGAGGGUAGUGGAAUUCCCGGUGUAGCGGUGAAAUGCGUAGAGAUCGGGAGGAACACCAGUGGCGAAGGCGGCUACCUGGACCAGCACUGACACUGAGGCACGAAAGCGUGGGGAGCAAACAGG